This 522-nucleotide ribosomal RNA is filed under the name uncultured bacterium. RNAcentral describes it as "bacterial SSU rRNA". It matches the Rfam family "Archaeal small subunit ribosomal RNA", at positions 345 to 866 of the family's 1478-position model. The record is from RNAcentral.
AACCUCCGCAAUGUGAGAAAUCGCGACGGGGGGAUCCCAAGUGCCAUUCUUAACGGGAUGGCUUUUCAUUAGUGUAAAGAGCUUUUGGAAUAAGGGCUGGGCAAGACCGGUGCCAGCCGCCGCGGUAACACCGGCAGCUCUAGUGGUAGCAGUUUUUAUUGGGCCUAAAGCGUCCGUAGCCGGUUUAAUAAGUCUCUGGUGAAAUCCUGUAGCUUAACUGUGGGAAUUGCUGGAGAUACUAUUAGACUUGAGACCGGGAGAGGUUAGAGGUACUCCCAGGGUAGAGGUGAAAUUCUGUAAUCCUGGGAGGACCGCCUGUUGCGAAGGCGUCUAACUGGAACGGUUCUGACGGUGAGGGACGAAAGUUAGGGGCGCGAAACCGGAUUAGAUACCCGGGUAGUCCUAACUGUAAACGAUGCGGACUUGGUGUUGGGGUGGCUUUGAGCUGCUUCAGUGCCGAAGGGAAGCUGUUAAGUCCGCCGCCUGGGAAGUACGGUCGCAAGGCUGAAAUUUAAAGGAAUU